ACCAGGUGAUCUACCCUUGGUCAGGUUGAAGUUCAGGUAACACUGAAUGGAGGACCGAACCGACUUACGUUGAAAAGUGAGCGGAUGAACUGAGGGUAGCGGAGAAAUUCCAAUCGAACCUGGAGAUAGCUGGUUCUCUCCGAAAUAGCUUUAGGGCUAGCCUCAAGUGAUGAUUAUUGGAGGUAGAGCACUGUUUGGACGAGGGGCCCCUCUCGGGUUACCGAAUUCAGACAAACUCCGAAUGCCAAUUAAUUUAACUUGGGAGUCAGAACAUGGGUGAUAAGGUCCGUGUUCGAAAGGGAAACAGCCCAGACCACCAGCUAAGGUCCCAAAAUAUAUGUUAAGUGGAAAAGGAUGUGGCGUUGCCCAGACAACUAGGAUGUUGGCUUAGAAGCAGCCAUCAUUUAAAGAGUGCGUAAUAGCUCACUAGUCGAGUGACACUGCGCCGAAAAUGUACCGGGGCUAAACAUAUUACCGAAGCUGUGGAUUGUCCUUUGGACAAUGGUAGGAGAGCGUUCUAAGGGCGUUGAAGCAUGAUCGUAAGGACAUGUGGAGCGCUUAGAAGUGAGAAUGCCGGUGUGAGUAGCGAAAGACGGGUGAGAAUCCCGUCCACCGAUUGACUAAGGUUUCCAGAGGAAGGCUCGUCCGCUCUGGGUUAGUCGGGUCCUAAGCUGAGGCCGACAGGCGUAGGCGAUGGAUAACAGGUUGAUAUUCCUGUACCACCUAUAAUCGUUUUAAUCGAUGGGGGGACGCAGUAGGAUAGGCGAAGCGUGCGAUUGGAUUGCACGUCUAAGCAGUAAGGCUGAGUAUUAGGCAAAUCCGGUACUCGUUAAGGCUGAGCUGUGAUGGGGAGAAGACAUUGUGUCUUCGAGUCGUUGAUUUCACACUGCCGAGAAAAGCCUCUAGAUAGAAAAUAGGUGCCCGUACCGCAAACCGACACAGGUAGUCAAGAUGAGAAUUCUAAGGUGAGCGAGCGAACUCUCGUUAAGGAACUCGGCAAAAUGACCCCGUAACUUCGGGAGAAGGGGUGCUCUUUAGGGUUAACGCCCAGAAGAGCCGCAGUGAAUAGGCCCAAGCGACUGUUUAUCAAAAACACAGGUCUCUGCUAAACCGUAAGGUGAUGUAUAGGGGCUGACGCCUGCCCGGUGCUGGAAGGUUAAGAGGAGUGGUUAGCUUCUGCGAAGCUACGAAUCGAAGCCCCAGUAAACGGCGGCCGUAACUAUAACGGUCCUAAGGUAGCGAAAUUCCUUGUCGGGUAAGUUCCGACCCGCACGAAAGGCGUAACGAUUUGGGCACUGUCUCAACGAGAGACUCGGUGAAAUCAUAGUACCUGUGAAGAUGCAGGUUACCCGCGACAGGACGGAAAGACCCCGUGGAGCUUUACUGUAGCCUGAUAUUGAAAUUCGGCACAGCUUGUACAGGAUAGGUAGGAGCCUUUGAAACGUGAGCGCUAGCUUACGUGGAGGCGCUGGUGGGAUACUACCCUAGCUGUGUUGGCUUUCUAACCCGCACCACUUAUCGUGGUGGGAGACAGUGUCAGGCGGGCAGUUUGACUGGGGCGGUCGCCUCCUAAAAGGUAACGGAGGCGCUCAAAGGUUCCCUCAGAAUGGUUGGAAAUCAUUCAUAGAGUGUAAAGGCAUAAGGGAGCUUGACUGCGAGACCUACAAGUCGAGCAGGGUCGAAAGACGGACUUAGUGAUCCGGUGGUUCCGCAUGGAAGGGCCAUCGCUCAACGGAUAAAAGCUACCCCGGGGAUAACAGGCUUAUCUCCCCCAAGAGUUCACAUCGACGGGGAGGUUUGGCACCUCGAUGUCGGCUCAUCGCAUCCUGGGGCUGUAGUCGGUCCCAAGGGUUGGGCUGUUCGCCCAUUAAAGCGGUACGCGAGCUGGGUUCAGAACGUCGUGAGACAGUUCGGUCCCUAUCCGUCGUGGGCGUAGGAAAUUUGAGAGGAGCUGUCCUUAGUACGAGAGGACCGGGAUGGACAUACCUCUGGUGUACCAGUUGUCGUGCCAACGGCAUAGCUGGGUAGCUAUGUGUGGACGGGAUAAGUGCUGAAAGCAUCUAAGCAUGAAGCCCCCCUCAAGAUGAGAUUUCCCAACUUCGGUUAUAAGAUCCCUCAAAGAUGAUGAGGUUAAUAGGUUCGAGGUGGAAGCAUGGUGACAUGUGGAGCUGACGAAUACUAAUCGAUCGAAGACUUAAUCAA
Molecule: ribosomal RNA, 2202 nt
Filed under: Staphylococcus aureus M0577
Lineage: Bacteria; Bacillati; Bacillota; Bacilli; Caryophanales; Staphylococcaceae
Description: bacterial LSU rRNA
Rfam family: Bacterial large subunit ribosomal RNA
Source: RNAcentral